GGAAAAAGUUACAGAUGCCCACAAAAAUCUGCAGCAUGCAUGGUAAUGAAGUAUAAUGUCUACAACCAAAAACGUUUGAAUUACACAAUGGGAACCAAACAUGGGAAACGUACGCUUAAACAAUCUCAAGUAAAAUUACGGUUUCACAUCCAUUCAAUCUCAAGACAGCUUGCUUCUCACAGCAUUUGUGACUAAUCUUGCCCCUCCUGUGAAGGCUGAGCCUCUGUGAUUUUUGGAGAUGCGAAUUUUGUGGUGGAACCUUCAAAUAAUGAAUUACAAUCCGUGUAUGCUGAUCCAAUGCCCAAUCCAGCACCAAAAGCUAUAGAUGCCCAACGAGUCACCGGACUCCUGAAGAAAAGGAGGCCACCAAAUGCACCAGCCAAGGAAGAGUAAACGAAUCGACGGAGCGUCAAAUCAAGACAAGCGUCCCACUUGGCAUUCAAAUCGUGCGGUGGAGACACAACCCCUUUGUUCUCAGCAAAACCUUUGUUCUCAGCCAUAUCCAGAAAGGAACCGUCAGACAGACGCUAUCAAGGGAUAAGGUUGUAUUGUAUGAUAUCUU
This 562-nucleotide unclassified non-coding RNA is filed under the name Hevea brasiliensis (rubber tree). The record is from RNAcentral. Lineage: Eukaryota; Viridiplantae; Streptophyta; Magnoliopsida; Malpighiales; Euphorbiaceae.